RNAcentral lists this transfer RNA (75 nucleotides) under Oscillospiraceae bacterium. RNAcentral describes it as "tRNA-Asn". It matches the Rfam family "tRNA". From Rfam's summary of the family: Transfer RNA (tRNA) molecules are approximately 80 nucleotides in length. Their secondary structure includes four short double-helical elements and three loops (D, anti-codon, and T loops). Further hydrogen bonds mediate the characteristic L-shaped molecular structure. tRNAs have two regions of fundamental functional importance: the anti-codon, which is responsible for specific mRNA codon recognition, and the 3' end, to which the tRNAs corresponding amino acid is attached (by aminoacyl-tRNA synthetases). tRNAs cope with the degeneracy of the genetic code in two manners: having more than one tRNA (with a specific anti-codon) for a particular amino acid; and 'wobble' base-pairing, i.e. permitting non-standard base-pairing at the 3rd anti-codon position. Lineage: Bacteria; Bacillati; Bacillota; Clostridia; Eubacteriales; Oscillospiraceae. The record is from RNAcentral.
UCCUCGAUAGCUCAACGGCAGAGCAUCCGGCUGUUAACCGGAGGGUUGCAGGUUCGAAACCUGCUCGGGGAGCCA